This is a long non-coding RNA of Mus musculus (house mouse), 418 nucleotides long. RefSeq annotates it as predicted gene, 39505. The transcript has 3 exons. NCBI's taxonomy places the organism in Eukaryota, Metazoa, Chordata, Mammalia, Rodentia, Muridae. The record is from RefSeq and is a predicted model, not a curated record.
ACUACCAUUGUAUGAAUCAAUUAUUUUAUGACUGAGUACUCAACACGCCUGACCUGACUGUAUAUCUACACAGAAAGGCUGCAGCAGUACCCAUCACCUCAAACCAUGGACGUGAAGCUUGCAUGAAACCGUCAAAGGAUGCUAUAAGUAGCUGGGCCCCAUGGACCAAGAUGACUUCAGUCAAGUCUCUGAUACAUCUUUGAAGAUCUCAGUGAUGUAACAUGGCCAGAUGCCUAAAGCUCCUUCUGACGUGACUUCCCCUCCAGGAUGGGCUUACCCCAAAACUAUCAUCCGAAGUAAGUCCUUCCUGAAGUCACUUUUGCUGAGUAUUUGAUCACAGAAAUGAUACCCAUAGUGAGUACACUGGGUGAUUAUGUGUUAUGUUUAGCCAUCCCUUCUUCCAAAUCUGUGACAGUUG